This 577-nucleotide small RNA is filed under the name Pan troglodytes (chimpanzee). RNAcentral's name for it is "processed transcript". The record is from RNAcentral. Lineage: Eukaryota; Metazoa; Chordata; Mammalia; Primates; Hominidae.
CACUGGCCCCACGGGAGGGUCCCUGAAGCCUGCCUGUCUUCUGCAGGGGCCUCUGCACCCACAGGCUUGGUCCACAGCUGCCUCUUGGUUGUCCCUCCACCUCCCUGGCCUUUGAGACUCCCUCAGUGGCUUUGUCAGAGUUCUCUGAGUCCAGCUGUGGAGGAGAGUCUGAAACAGCUGCUCUGGGAGGCGGCAGCAGGAGUGUCCCAGCGCCGUGGGCUGGGCUGGUGCCAAGCCUAAGCCAGCACCUGCCCGCAGCGGGACUUCGGUCCUUGCGGCUCCUUGUCCUGCACAGCAACCUCCUGGCCUCUGUGCCAGCUGACUUGGCCCGCCUUCCACUCCUCACCCGGCUCGACCUGAGGGACAACCAGCUCCGGGACCUGCCCCCUGAGCUGCUAGACGCCCCCUUUGUGCGCCUGCAGGGGAACCCCCUGGGUGAGGCCUCGCCAGACGCCCCGAGUUCACCAGUGGCAGCCCUCAUUCCAGAAAUGCCCAGACUGUUCCUGACCUCAGAUUUGGACAGGCUGCUCAGUGACCCUGGCCUGUGGCAUCCGCCUGCAGUUCCCAGCGGGAGCCA